This is a long non-coding RNA of Biomphalaria glabrata, 1897 nucleotides long. RefSeq lists it as uncharacterized. The record is from RefSeq and is a predicted model, not a curated record. NCBI's taxonomy places the organism in Eukaryota, Metazoa, Mollusca, Gastropoda, Planorbidae. The transcript has 11 exons.
UUCAAACUAAAACUUAAUAAGUCGAAUUCAAAGAAAGACAGGAAGUUACAAUUCUUAAGUUACGGCGCAUGCGCUUUUUUCCGAACUUUCGCUUUUUAUCAAAAACGUAAACAAAAUUUAGAAACAAAUCAGUAAGGCCCCGGCCUGAGACGCCUAAUUUAGAUUUGCUCAUAAAGUCUUUCAAAGUUUUCUUCAAUGUUGUGAUUAAACAUUAAUAGUAUAAAAUAACCAUCUGCACAAGUUCUCCAGUGAUGAAAAGUAAUAAUAACAAUUAUGAGACAAUGAAGGUACCAAGUGAAAUGAGUGAUACAGAUGACAAUAAUGUUUGGAAUGUACGCAAGAAUAAUGAAUUUGAAGAAAGUACAGCAUCAUCAAAUGUGAAUUUUCCCAUCAAUGCUGUAAAUAUGCACAUAAAGCACACAAAAAGAGAUGUAGAAAUUUCGGAGGAUGAUCAGGUAAAAGAAAGUCAUGAUGAUGAUGGUUUUGUUUCAAUAUCAUCUGAUCACGAAGACCAGGAGGUCAUACAAUUACAAAAAACUUCAGAUGAUUUACAAACAUUCAAAGAAGCUGAGUAAUCAAGUGAUGAGAAUGAAACAUCAAAUUCAGCAAGGUAAUGUUGAACCUAGGACUGUCAAUGAAACUAUAACAGAACUAGUUUCUGAUGAGACUCAAUCUAUGCUUGAUGAAACUAUUAAAAGUGAUUAGGAAUCAAGUUAUUAUUCACAUAACUUAUGACCUUUGACUAGCAGUACAGUCCUGGAGCUGCCUGGAGGAUUAAGAGCAAAGCCAAACACACCAGCAAGCCUAAAUAUUUUUAUCCAACAAUACUAUACAAGAAAAGUGAAGACUGUGUGUGGAAGUUUGCCAGAGGCAAGCUUUGGAUUUCUUUCAUAGAGCAAGGGACAACACUCUCAAUACCUUUUGAUAUCAUUCCAACACCUAUAGCUGUGGUGAGACUAUUUCGAGGUCUCAGGAAUGUAUUUCUUAUCAAUUGGUAAUCAUGCAUCACAUGCCCUCAGAUAUGUACACAAAAUGAAGUUUGAGGAGAAAGAGAAAGGAUCAAGAUGAUUUACAAGACACUAAAGUUAUCUAUCAACUAUACUCAAUGUAUGAAUGACUUGCAGCCAGACUAGAAUUAUAGAGAAAGAUGUUUUUCUGCUGGCUAAACAUGUAUGGGGUCUGUUCCAUCACAUCCAGUCAAUAAAGGAAUAAUAUCUAUGAUGUCAGACAACAAUAAAGAUCCAUUUCUGUAGAAGAAGAUCUCACUACCAUGAACACUCUAGGGCUAGGGAGACAUGAACUACAUGAAGACAAUUUUGGGAUGGAGGAAACCACACAGAGACUUCAAUGGGGAACAAAAGUCAAAUGGAGUGUGUUCAAAGGACAUGAUGCCAGUAAAAUGAGAAAAUAGAGUGGAAGAGAGUCCAGAGUUUGUUUUGCUCCCGAUUCAAUAGAGAACAAAGUUAAGAUUAGCGAUGGAGAUAAAAGGAAUCUCUAAAACAAUAAUUCUUAUCAAAAUCCAACAAUCUCUAUUCAAACUAUUAAUCUAAGCAGUAACAUGACAACUAUUUGAACCAAAGAGUGAAGGUCACGUGAGGACAGUUUUCAACACUAGAGUUACAGUACUAGUCCUCGGUGGAAUCAAGGAGUCAUUAAAGAAUCAUUCUGGAAGAUCAAAUUAAUACAAGCACUGAACAGCAGACAGGAAUGGAAAAUAUGGCCAACAGAUCUUGUGUGGUGCCCCAAUGGUCAAACAACUAAGGGAUAGAUAAUGAUGCAGAGAAUUUCCUGGUGAUCAAUAAUUAGGAGCUGCACACAGUUUAAUGAAACCAUAUUUUAGGAACAGAUAGAAAACAAAGAACUGCAGCAAAGAUGGCCUGUUUUUAUUCUUCUUCAU